GCGUUGAAAAGCUCGGGGAUGACUUGUGGGUAGCGGUGAAAUUCCAAUCGAGCCCGGAGAUAGCUGGUUCUCCCCGAAAUAGCUUUAGGGCUAGCCUCAAGGUGAGAGAUACGGAGGUAGAGCACUGAAUGUCCUAGGGGGUAUUGCACCUACCGAAGACUAUCAAACUCCGAAUGCCGUCAUCUUAUACUUGGGAGUCAGACUGUGGGUGAUAAGAUUCAUAGUCGAAAGGGCAACAGCCCAGAUCGUCAGCUAAGGUCCCUAAAUGUAAGUUAAGUGGUAAAGGAUGUGGGAUUGCACAGACAACCAGGAUGUUGGCUUAGAAGCAGCCACUCAUUCAAAGAGUGCGUAAUAGCUCACUGGUCGAGUGAUCCUGCGCCGAAGAUUUCCGGGGCUAAAACUUACUACCGAAGCUACGGCAUCAGUAAUGAUGGGUAGGGGAGCUUCCCAUACGG
Molecule: ribosomal RNA, 455 nt
Filed under: Clostridioides difficile
Lineage: Bacteria; Bacillati; Bacillota; Clostridia; Peptostreptococcales; Peptostreptococcaceae
Description: partial 23S ribosomal RNA
Rfam family: Bacterial large subunit ribosomal RNA
Source: RNAcentral